ACCAGGUUUUCUCCAGAAGGUUUGCCAGUUAUCUCUGAAGCCCACAUCGUUUCUUGGACACCACUCAGACAGCCAGUGUAACGAUGUCAAAGAAUUAACAUGGUUUUGUUAUGUUUAAAUUCCUGUUAAACUUGGGAUCGCAACCAUGGAUUUAUUUUGAAUGAUUUGGUUCUGAAACUUUUAUUUUGAAAAUCCACAACGGAAGUCUGCUACUGGUAAACUGGUUUUCCCAAAGCUUAUCCGUUUAGUAGCAACGAAAGUAACUGAGUAGAUUUCGGUUUUAUGAUCUUGUUUUGAAAUUAAUGGGUUAGACGGUAGAACAAAAAUGGACACGCUGAGCUAGCGGCUAACAGCUAGAGGAGACUGUUGUGUCUAAUAAUUUGAAACUUCCUUUGAUAGUUUGGGCGGAAUCCUGUUGCUGGAAACCCGUGGUUAUUCAUGUCCCAUGUUAUUGCAGAGACCCUCAAAAGGGGGAAUAAACCACACCUGAGCUCUACCCAUCUCGAGUCCAGAGAGUUUUACUCAUACAGCACCAGAAAUAGACACUGAGAGGGGUUACACCAGCAAUUUAAGAAGAACAUGCAGCUAAACAUGUCACUCCUUCUCUGAUUGGGGAGGGGACCAUAGAAAACAACAGGCAUCACGGCAGCAUCUUAGUACCAUCUAAAGGAUCUCCAACACCGUCUGGGUUUACAGCUGUGUCAUCCAGAAAACCACAGUUUGUGUCCCCAUCUGAGCUUUUAUUCUGCCCAUGGAGUGACUGAGCAGAUGGGCUGAGUGGUCCUCUCCAUUACAGAUGUGAUCCAGACCAGUUGGAGACAGAAUAUCAUACAAUUUAAAAAAAAGAAAAACAACACCAACAAAACAAACAAAAACAAAAUUCUAAACUUUUAAUAUUGAUUUAAUAAAAUGAAUAAACCUGUCAUUUUAAUGCAAAGCUGCCUCUUGUUAUUUACAUUUUAGAAUCCUAAUGUUUAUUGGUAAGGUUAAAAAGGUUACAAAUAUCUGAAAAAACAUCAUCACAACAUUCAUCUUGGCCAUACAUAAAGAAUAACAAUAGUUUAAAGUUUUAUUAGUAAUUUGCUGUGUAUCAGCAGAAAUACCACUGAAGUCUUACUUCCCCUUAGCAGUGACCUCGCUGCUGUUUCAGUAUUGCGUUAGGGUGCAAAUAUGAUCAAGAAUCAAUGUCAGACUUCAACAUAUAUAUUCAGUUAAAUUCAGUGAUGGGAAUAACAGUGUUACCUUUUUCAGUAACAAGUAAUCUAACUAAUUACUAUUUCUAUCGUUACAACGCCAUUACCGUUACUAACAAGAAACUCGACCACUUCAAGAUGACACAGCAACAAGGUGCUAUAUACCAUUUUUUAAAUUGUGUUGAUAGGCCACGUAAAACCAGAGUCAUGAUAAACAAUAUAAUACGUGGUGUUUUUUCCUGAAUACUUUUGUCAUGUUUACUGUCCAAGGGCAGCACUAGCAAGCACUCUCUGCUUAUGGCCAAAAAUAAAAACAUAAAACAAAACAAAAGACACCCCUUUCAUGUUGGUGGAAAAAUGUACCAUGUCCACCAAUCAAAAAAUGAUAUGGCAACAUGACAUUUGGUCGAGAGAGAAAGAGCGAAAAGAAAGAGAGAGAGCGACUUUUGAGAUGUCUUGUGUAGUUAGUGUGUAGUGUAGUGGAUAGUUUUGUGUGUCAGAACAAUGAGGCGACUGCUGAAUGUUACAGGUGCUGCUAGAAAGCCACCAAAGGCAGAUUACAGUGUAAACGGUGUCUCCAGGUAGAAAACAGGAGGAGUGAUACACCUGUUGCUGCCAGACCUGCAGGCUGUGAUGUUCUCCUUUAUAGUCGACAGAAAUUCUUUUUUGGAGUGGCACAAAUAAUUUGUGUGGCAUCUUAUUUAAUGCAGAAUACCUGAUUGUUAUGUAAAUAGUUUGAAAUGGCUGCAAAUAACUUUGUUUGCAAAACUUGUGCAUAGG
Molecule: long non-coding RNA, 1973 nt
Organism: Oreochromis aureus
Lineage: Eukaryota; Metazoa; Chordata; Actinopteri; Cichliformes; Cichlidae
Source: Ensembl